This 760-nucleotide ribosomal RNA is filed under the name uncultured Staphylococcus sp. RNAcentral describes it as "bacterial SSU rRNA". It matches the Rfam family "Bacterial small subunit ribosomal RNA", at positions 62 to 804 of the family's 1533-position model. Lineage: Bacteria; Bacillati; Bacillota; Bacilli; Caryophanales; Staphylococcaceae. The record is from RNAcentral.
UCGAGCGAACGGACGAGAAGCUUGCUUCUCUGAUGUUAGCGGCGGACGGGUGAGUAACACGUGGAUAACCUACCUAUAAGACUGGGAUAACUUCGGGAAACCGGAGCUAAUACCGGAUAAUAUUUUGAACCGCAUGGUUCAAAAGUGAAAGACGGUCUUGCUGUCACUUAUAGAUGGAUCCGCGCUGCAUUAGCUAGUUGGUAAGGUAACGGCUUACCAAGGCAACGAUGCAUAGCCGACCUGAGAGGGUGAUCGGCCACACUGGAACUGAGACACGGUCCAGACUCCUACGGGAGGCAGCAGUAGGGAAUCUUCCGCAAUGGGCGAAAGCCUGACGGAGCAACGCCGCGUGAGUGAUGAAGGUCUUCGGAUCGUAAAACUCUGUUAUUAGGGAAGAACAUAUGUGUAAGUAACUGUGCACAUCUUGACGGUACCUAAUCAGAAAGCCACGGCUAACUACGUGCCAGCAGCCGCGGUAAUACGUAGGUGGCAAGCGUUAUCCGGAAUUAUUGGGCGUAAAGCGCGCGUAGGCGGCUUUUUAAGUCUGAUGUGAAAGCCCACGGCUCAACCGUGGAGGGUCAUUGGAAACUGGAAAACUUGAGUGCAGAAGAGGAAAGUGGAAUUCCAUGUGUAGCGGUGAAAUGCGCAGAGAUAUGGAGGAACACCAGUGGCGAAGGCGACUUUCUGGUCUGUAACUGACGCUGAUGUGCGAAAGCGUGGGGAUCAAACAGGAUUAGAUACCCUGGUAGUCCACGCCGUA